This 340-nucleotide unclassified non-coding RNA is filed under the name soil metagenome. RNAcentral's name for it is "partial contains 5.8S ribosomal RNA, internal transcribed spacer 2, and large subunit ribosomal RNA". The stretch from base 1 to 120 matches the Rfam family "5.8S ribosomal RNA", at positions 35 to 154 of the family's 154-position model. The record is from RNAcentral.
GAUGAAGAACGCAGCGAAAUGCGAUAAGUAAUGUGAAUUGCAGAAUUCAGUGAAUCAUCGAAUCUUUGAACGCACAUUGCGCCCGCCAGCACUCUGGCGGGCAUGCCUGUUCGAGCGUCAUUUCAACCAUCAAGCCCCCAGGGGCUUGUGCUGGGGCCCUGCGGCUGCCCGCAGGCCCUGAAAACCAGUGGCGGGCUCGCUAGUCACACCGAGCGCAGUAGCACAUCUCGCUCAGGGCGUGCGGCGGGCUCCUGCCGUGAAACCCCCCACUGUAACCCCAAAGGUUGACCUCGGAUCAGGUAGGAAUACCCGCUGAACUUAAGCAUAUCAAUGCGGAGGA